This 775-nucleotide ribosomal RNA is filed under the name uncultured Neocallimastigales. Its description in RNAcentral is "partial large subunit ribosomal RNA". It matches the Rfam family "Eukaryotic large subunit ribosomal RNA", at positions 26 to 628 of the family's 3401-position model. Lineage: Eukaryota; Fungi; Neocallimastigomycota; Neocallimastigomycetes; Neocallimastigales. The record is from RNAcentral.
CGUCUAUAUACGUAUAGCAUAUCAAUAAGCGGAGGAAAAGAAACUAACUAGGAUUCCCUUAGUAACGGCGAGUGAAGCGGGAAGAGCUCAAAUUUGAAAUCUUCAAGGUUCUACCUUGACGAAUUGUAGUUUAAAGAAGUGUUUUCUGUUGGAGUUUUGGUAAAAGUUCUUUGGAAAUAGGACAUCAUAGAGGGUGAGAAUCCCGUAUUUGACCAUUAUUUCCAACUUUGUGAUACACUUUCAAAGAGUCGGAUUGUUUGGGAAUGCAGUCCAAAAUGGGUGGUAAAUUUCAUCUAAAGCUAAAUACUGGCGAGAGACCGAUAGCGAACAAGUACCGUGAGGGAAAGAUGAAAAGAACUUCGAAAAGAGAGUUAAACAGUACGUGAAAUUGUCAAAAGGGAAGCGUUUGACACCAGUGUUGUUUUCUCGAAAAUCAAUUAAAAAUGGCGGGAUGUUGUGUUGUAUUGACUUUAUCAGCUUUCUGCACUUUUUUCCUAUCUUUUUUAAUGCACUUUUCGUUUAACAAGUCAACAUCAAUUUCUUUUGUUGUAAAAGGGUCAUUGGAAGGUGGCUUUCUUUUCGGAGAAAGUGUUUAUAGCCUUUGACUUCUGCAAUAGGAGAGAUUGAGGUCUGCAGCGUAGAUCCUUCGGGGUUAGAUGCAUUUGUGCUAAGUUAUAGCCUUUCAUAGACAACAUGUUGACUAUGAUCAGUCAUGUAGCUUACUCGCUUAUGCUAUUUUACCUACGCUUAGGAUGUUGACGAUCAGCUGAGCGCA